Long non-coding RNA from Hyla sarda, 285 nucleotides. RefSeq lists it as uncharacterized. The transcript has 3 exons. The record is from RefSeq and is a predicted model, not a curated record. Lineage: Eukaryota; Metazoa; Chordata; Amphibia; Anura; Hylidae.
GUGAAUUCUUGUUGUAGCCCUAGUUCUGAGCUUACUUCUUAAGUUGACUUGUCAGGAGGGGACUGGAUUAAGCUGUCUGCAACUCCAGGAAUUAGAAUGCAGUGGAGACCAGGUGCUGCAAUAACGGAGGCUGUGAGGAAGUGAGGGAGAUAUCGAGGACACUUGGAAGGACUUCCGUUCACCUGGCUCUUUGCAGGGGACUGUCUACCCGAGGCUGAAACCUGGAGUUAUAAAAGAGAAAGAAUGCCAGCGCCCAAAGGGAAGGAGAGAAAGGAAGAGAAGGAG